This 646-nucleotide long non-coding RNA is filed under the name Homo sapiens (human). RNAcentral describes it as "HSALNT0348012". The record is from RNAcentral. Lineage: Eukaryota; Metazoa; Chordata; Mammalia; Primates; Hominidae.
GUUUAGAAGGUUCCUCCUUUGUCUCUGGGCUCCUUUUCUUUUAUUCCCCUAGGACUCUUUGCUGCAAAUGAUUUUAUCUGAAGCUGUGUCUGAACAAAAAUAGACAAAUGGAGAACUGAGGCAAUUAUACUAUUAAUUCAAGCAGAGAAAAAAGCACUUCGCCUGAGUUAUCUGGCAUUUCCUGGCAAAAAUCUUUUUCUAUGUCAAUGAUCUAGAAGAUUGCCUAACUUCUUUUCUUCAGGGGUGUAGAUGUGGCCUAUGUCACAUGGCUCUCAUUGCCUCAUUUCCUGCUGCUUCAGACUGUGUCUAUUCUAGGAAGGCUGACACAUGAUGAGAAGAGUCAGUGGUCCUGAGGUACAGUACUUAAGAUAACCCUGUGAAGGCUGAGAUUGAUAUUUGAAAUUCACAACUGAUCUUGGAGCCUGGUACAGCAGUCAUGGAUUUGUUCAUGUGUGGAUGUGAUGGAACUGAAGUCGCUAGGUUCAUGCUACCUGGAACAUGAGACUGACAAAUAGAGGAGCACUGAGUCAAAUGAAUCUCGGAGAAAUGGAGCUGGAAGAAAACUGGAGAUGACUGAUUCCUUGUGAAGAGUAGAGAGCCAGGAAAAACUGGAGAUUUUGGGCUUAUACAGAAUCCAGAAAUGGAA